Molecule: long non-coding RNA, 1409 nt
Filed under: Phascolarctos cinereus (koala)
Lineage: Eukaryota; Metazoa; Chordata; Mammalia; Diprotodontia; Phascolarctidae
Description: lncRNA (ENSPCIG00000032552.1)
Source: RNAcentral
AUGCAGCCCCUUGCCGCCCCCGCCCCUGGCACCACGUGCUCCGUCAGUCCCAGCCGGGGCAGGGGAGCUAGGAGGCCUCGGGCGUCCCGGGCCAAGGCCCCCAGCGGGUGGGGCGGGGCGUGCGGGGAGGGGCAGAACGGCCUCAGAGCGCAGGCCUCGGCCUCAGGCCCCGCCCCCCCCCGCGCGCUCUCGGUCGCCCCGCCCCCGGCUCCGCCCCGCCGCCGCCGCGGGCGCGCGCGUGUCAGGCGCCUCGGCAGCCGCCAUUUUGGAGUGAGUCGGCCCGAACCCCGAGCCCGCGGCGGAGCCGGUGAGGCCUGCGGCGGCGGCGGCGGCGGCGGCGGCGGCGGCGGCGGCGGUGGCGGCGGUGACGGAGCCGCGGAGCCCGAGGAGUGCCCGGAGCCCGGCGCCGAGGCCGAGGCGCAGCAUGGAUUAUUCCUUUUUGGAGCUUGUCGCGUUUCUUCCUCAAGGCCCUUCCUGAGUCCCCGACUGCAUGGGCGACUCGGGUUCUCCCCUGGACCCUUCCUGGGCAGGCUAACGCUGAGCAAUGUAAGAACCAGUGGAUUUGGCAGGGUGAUCCACAGAACCAGGGAAUGUGGUGCCUUAGAUUGGUUGGUUUAAGGUAAUGAAAAUUUAAAAUUUUGGGUUUUUUUCCCCUCCAAAGUACUUUUAUGAGAUUCUUAAUGUAGUAGAGAAUAGCUUAAUGUAGAGAAUAGCUUUUGCCUAAUCUUUCUAAUCUAUUACAGUAGUCACUGUUUCAUAUUCAUAGUGCCCUAGUGAUGUAGUUUAGUAGAGUAUUAUUAUAUCACAAAUGGAGAAACUGAGGCACAGAGUAGCUGUGUAAAUUGCCCAGAGUCACAUAGGCUAUUCAGAGUGGGACUACCAUUAAUGAUAGGACCAUCAAGCCAGGUCUUCUGGCUCCUCAGUUUUUUCUUCUGUAUUCAUUCUGCCUUUCAUGUGCAAGUGUGGUUUGUCAUCUUGAGAUUUAUUCCUAGAGAGAAAUGACCGAAAUUUCUGACCUGCCUGCCAGCAUAGUACAUUAUGAAGACUUACUGAAUUAAGAAAUGUUGAGGCAGAUGAGGGUGAAACCAUUUCCUUCCCUUUGUUUCUUGCCAUAGACUUAGACCUGGGGUAAAAGCCAAAAGUAUUAAUUCUGAAAAGUUCCCCCCCUCAAAAAAAGAAAGAAAGAAAGAAAGAAAGCAUCACUGCCACCAUCACCAUAUGCCUUUAAAAAUGAAUACUGAAGGUCUUGCUGGCUUGGUCUUCUUCGUUAUCUUCCUUUACGUUGUAACACUCCAGUGUCUGAAGAGGAAUACACAUGACUGGGAAAAGAACAGAGUAUCCAUUAGCUCUCAUUACAUUGGCCUGCUUUGGGUGAAUUUACAUUGAAGUGAAUGCUCUGAAGAUUGAGG